AGUCGAAGGGGGUAGAGCAGAGCUUGGCUUUUUCAAGAGAUCAGGCGCACGGGGUGAGUAACGGCGUAUGCAAUCUACCCUCAUACAGGGGAAUAGCUCCAGAGAAAUUUGGAAUUAAUGCCGUCAUGGUUGAUUGAGAUGGCAUCAUCUUGAUAAUAUAGAUUUAUCGGUAUCAGAUGAGCAUGCGUAUCAUUAGCUAGUUGGUGUGGUACGGCAUACCAAGGCGACGAUGAUUAGGGGUCCUGAGAGGGAGAUCCCCCACACUGGUACUGAGACACGGACCAGACUCCUACGGGAGGGAGCAGUGAGGAAUAUUGGUCAAUGGAGGCAACUCUGAACCAGCCAUGCCGCGUGCAGGAUGACGGUCCUAUGGAUUGUAAACUGCUUUUGUACAGGAAGAAACAUUACUACGUGUAGAACUUGACGGUACUGUAAGAAUAAGGAUCGGCUAACUCCGUGCCAGCAGCCGCGGUAAUACGGAGGUCCGAGCGUUAUCCGGAAUUAUUGGGUUUAAAGGGUUCGUAGGCGGUUAGAUAAGUCAGUGGUGAAAUUCCUAGCUGACUAGGGCACUGCCAUUGAACUGUUUAACUUGAAUGGGUGGAGUACUGGAUAUUGGGGAGCGGUGAAUGCUAGAUUUACUGUAUACCAUUGCGAGCAGGUGCUGCGUACUUUUGACGCU
Molecule: ribosomal RNA, 679 nt
Filed under: Myroides sp. p5
Lineage: Bacteria; Pseudomonadati; Bacteroidota; Flavobacteriia; Flavobacteriales; Flavobacteriaceae
Description: bacterial SSU rRNA
Rfam family: Bacterial small subunit ribosomal RNA
Source: RNAcentral